RNAcentral lists this ribosomal RNA (431 nucleotides) under uncultured bacterium. RNAcentral's name for it is "partial 16S ribosomal RNA". It matches the Rfam family "Bacterial small subunit ribosomal RNA", at positions 29 to 507 of the family's 1533-position model. The record is from RNAcentral.
AACGAACGCUGGCGGCAUGCUUAACACAUGCAAGUCGAACGCCCCGCCAGUGGUUUUGCUGACUGGUGAUUAACGCGUGGCAAUCUACCCAUCCCUACGUCAUAACCCAUUGAUACGUGUGCUAUUACCUUAUACGCCCUACUGUGUCAAGAUUUAUCGGGGAUGGAUGUGCCCGCUUUGGAUUAGCUAGUUGGUGGGGUAAAUGCCUACCAAGGCGACGAUCCAUAGCUGGUCUGAGAGGAAGAUCAGCGACAUUGGGACUGAGACACGGACCAAAAUCGUACGGGAGGAAGCAGUGGGGAAUAUUGGACAAUGGGGGAAAGAAUGAACAAGCCAUGACGGGUGAGUGAUGAAGGCGUUAGGGUAGUAAAGCACAAUAAAAGGAGAAGAUAAUGACGGUAACCGGAGAAGAAGCCACGGCUAACUACGUG